Long non-coding RNA from Manis pentadactyla (Chinese pangolin), 3127 nucleotides. RefSeq lists it as uncharacterized. NCBI's taxonomy places the organism in Eukaryota, Metazoa, Chordata, Mammalia, Pholidota, Manidae. The transcript has 5 exons. The record is from RefSeq and is a predicted model, not a curated record.
GGAGGGAAGGGGGCUAAAGGAGCGGGCCAGCCCUGGCCCCUCCACGUCCCUUGAGCAAGGCCCUGAUGUACAGGGGCAGGGCUCGAGUCUCCAUGAAAGUCCUGCAGGCCUGGGCCACAGUGACCGGCCCGCUCACCUGAGUAGAGUGAUGACAGCAGCCCAGGCCGAGCGCUCAUCAUGCCCGUGAGGGUGCAGCCUGUGACCUCCCAGCAAUGCUGGGUGACACAGGGCAGCAUGGGGACGUGCCAAAAGACAGGAGCUCUGCAGGCCCUGGUUCUUCAUCUGCAAAAUGGGGGCGCUCAUUGUGGCAGGAAGAACUGAAGUCCCCCCAGGUAUGUUUAGGAAAUAGCAGGUGGGCUGUUUCACUGGCCAGAUGUGCAAGUUGAAAGGCAUUUGGGGAGGAACGUGGAGAGGAAGUGGGCUGGGGAGGAUGCAGAGGGAGGAAGGAGGGACGAAGCAGCCACUGUGAGAAGAGGAACUUGGGAGAAGCGAUGAUUAAGGGGACAUAGGUCAGGAUGGCUAGGCAAUGCUGAGCAAUCACCCUCCUCUCAGUAACUCCAAACAACAAAGCAUUGCUUCUUCCCCCCACCCCUGAUUUUAUUGAGAUAUAGUUGACAUACAAUUUUGUAUUACAUGUUUAAGGUAUACAAUGUGAUAAUUCGGUAUAUGUACGUAUUUCCAAAUGAUUAACCACACCAAUUUAGUUAACAACUAUCACUUCACAUAGCUACAAAUUAAUUUUCUUGUGGUAAGAAUUUGUAAGAUCUACUGUCUUAGUGAUUUUCAAAUACACGUUAUUGCUAACUAUAGCCAUCAUGGUGUACAUGACAUCCCUAGAAAAGGGUUGUUUCAUGUGCACACUCAAGUCCAUGGAGGGCUGGCAGGGAGAGGCAUAGGGACCCACAUUGCCCAUCCCAAGCUAGGGGAAAGAGCUCUGGAGGGUCUCAUGCUGGCUAAGGAAUGCCCAGGCCUGAACUGUGACACAAUCCCUGCCAGCCUCCAGUCACUGCCACAACUAAUCACACAGCCUCCCUGUCCCCAGGAGUCAGGAGGUGCGGUCCCACCCAGGGGCCUGAGGUAGGACUGUGCCCCUGGCGCUGUGCAAGCCCCACUUUCUAAGUCCUGUGCCUGCAGAGAAUCCUGUGACAGUCAGGCUUGGGCUGUGUCUUCCUUCCUGGGCGGGGAUUGCCCCAGUCCAAGCUGUAGCCCUGCCCACUCUCCACGCCUCUACCUGCCUCUAGCCUCCUCACUUCAGGGAGUAGUGAGGCAGGCAGGGAGCAGAGCCAAGGCACUUUUGUGUGUCAGUAAUUGUAUAUAUAAAAACAUAUCCACAAUAAUAAUUACUUUUUAUUGAGCAAUUGCAACAAGCCAGAUACAAUGCUAUUUGACAUGGACAGUUUCACUUCACACAAGCCUAGGGGGUAAGUGCUGUUGUUAUCCCAUUUUACAGAUAAGAACACUGAGACCCAGAGACAUUAAAAGACUGGACCAGGUCACCUGACUUAUUACUAAUGGGAUUCAAAGCCAAGUCUUGAGGAUGUGUUUAACCACCAGGCUUUGAAAGGAAGAGCAAUAUUGUUUAUAUUAAUAGGGCCACUUGCCUUUGUUUAGUGAACAUUCCCACUUGACCCAAAGGCCCUUUUCCCAUCCUACAUAAUUAGUCACAGGCCUGAUAAAGGCAAAUACAAAAAUGUCAUAUUGAAAUGCAUGUAAAUUCUGCCACCGACUAGCUGGGUCUCACCUCGUCUCCCUUAUGAAGAGAUGUAACACAACCCUGUUGUAUUCUUGACAAAACCUUUUAGCUGGACUCUGACUGUUAGGCAGAAAGACAGACAUAAGCAGGUGGGGGGAGAAUAAGGCCAGUGACGCCCACUAACACUAAAAGGGACUCAAAGAGUUAACCAGAUAAAACCAGAGAGCCAGAAAAGACAGUUACUUAGCUGAAGUCUCGAGAACCAGGAGGGACUUGGAAUGUCCAGACACUUCCCAGAUGAAAAACAACUUCCCAGAGGAGAAGCUUCUAAGAACAGACACGCCCCAGAUAAAAUACCGGAAGACAGGAACAGCAAGCAUCAAGUGCAGCCCAUGUCUUCUAUUUACCAAUUAGACCAGGCCCCCAAGGCCAAAGACCGUCAAUCAAGGACUUCCCUGUCCUGCCAAAAUCCCCACAAAAAGAAGCCUCACACAGGGACAAGAAGCGAGGAGAACCGACUCAACCUGUAACAUAACUAUGAGAAAAAAGACAAAUACAGAACAUGGGACAUUUCCAAGGCAACUAACUGAUCCGUUUCUUCCAAACACUUCUCCAGGGGGCAAUGUCAUGAAAGACGAUAGAAAGGCAGGGCAACCAAACGGAAGAUGAAAUGUCAUGAUGUCUGCAAUGUGCUCUCAUAUGGUUCCAGAAAAGAAGUAAUAAAGGAGAAAAAGAGAGUGUAACUCCAGGGAGAGGAAAUACUGGGGCAAAAUACAUCUAAAACUGAAAUCAGUCAAAGGGAGAAAUAGAGUUUAAAACCCGUUUAUUGCUUACAAACUGCAGUCCAGGGCUGUCUCUUUCUGCUCCAGCAGAAGCAAGGAAGACCUCCCCCUCACCUCUCAGGUCCCGAUAAGCCCUCGGUCACCCAGGUAAUUACCCACUGAUACGGAGAUGAACUACCGUUCUCCACCCCUGAGGAACGUCUGUUGAUAUGCAAAUGCACUAAAGCCAGGUGAGAUAUUCUGGAAAUAUUACAAUUUUACCCAGAGAGAGAGAAACAAAAGCAGCAAAUUAUGAAGAAAAGGUGCUCUAAGGGAAGAGUGUAUGGGUACUCAUUGUGCUGUUCAUUUCAGCUUUUUGGUAGGUCUGAAAUGUUUUCAAAAUAGACAGGGAGAAUGACAUAGGGAAAGGGAAGUUGAACAAAUCUGGUAUUUCUGAGUGCCUCCCUGUUUUCAGGUCUAGGACCAUGUAUUAGUUUGCUAGGAAUGCCAUAACCAAGCACCACAAAUUGGGAGACUUAAGCAAUACAAAUUCAUUUUCUCUGACUUCUGAAGGUUGAAAGUCCAAGAGUAGGCAGGUUUGGUUUCUUCUGAAGCCUCUCUCCUGGGCCUGCAGGCAGUGUUCUCUGCGUGUCCUCACAGUGUGUAUCCUGGG